UCCACAUAGGAAUGCUGGGAUUAUAGUUGGCUAUCAUCACAUCUGCCUUUUAAUUUGGGUUCUGUAGACUGAACUCAGGCUUAUGGUUUUAAUUUUACCCACUGAGGACACUCCCUUCUCACAGAUCCACUUUUAUAUUGAAAAUCACAGUACAUUUGUACUAGUUUUUAAAGACUGAUGUCUUAUAAGUAACUGUUAUCCCUUUUCAUCAUAAAUUAUCUUAAAUCAACCAGAUAUAUCCUGCUGAAAGCAACCUAUAGAUAAAGGCUUUCCUGUAGCAAAUAUUAGUUUGUUUGCCAAGAGAUUUGUCACAAUCUGACUUAUAAAGACAUCUUGACUGUUAUUUUUCCCUAGGACAUCCACACAUGAAAGAAGAAAAUGGAUUACCAUUCCAUUGUAUUUUUCAGCUUUUUGGUACUAUGACAAAAUAUAUGUUAUAUGUAAUAGUUUAAAAGAAGGAAAGACUUUUUAAAAGGAGAUUCAGACUAUAGUUAUUUGCAUUGGACUUGUGGCAGCAGAAUGCUGUAAAUAUUUCCUCGUAUGUAUCUGGUAUGUCACUCUCCCACUACUAAUUCUCCUUGGCGAGUUCCUUCUCUCAUUAUACUAUAAUAAUAGGAUUUCUUAAGACUCAGUCCUCAGACUUUUCCUUUCCCUAUGUUAGCUGAUGUGGUUACCUCAGACAAUAUUGUGAUUGAAUGUACAUUGCACAUACUAAUGAUUCCCAAUUAUAUAGCUUAAUCUUCCUCAUCUGUGCCAGAACAUUAAACUUUUUGAUAUUAUCAUUAAGUUAUCAAAUGAAUGAUACAUAUUUGCAUGCCCAAUAUCAAAUACUUAAUUCCAAUACCUUACUCACUGCAAGUUUUCUCCAUUUAGUGGAGGAUGAGAUUUUCUGUAGCUCAGACCAAAAAUUUUUCACUCCACUUACUUCACUCUAUUGACAAAUAUAUCUACUAUACUUUUGAAAUAUAUUGAGAAACUCACCACUUCAUAACACUCUCACCUUCCUAUCACCCUAGCAUAAACCACUAUCGUUUCCAGAUUGCUGCAACCCUGAAUAACUUCAGUAAUCUGUAGUUCAUCUCCCUGCAUCUCCCCUUGCUCUGACUCAGUCUUCUACUCAAAAGCCAGAAUCUGCUUUAUAAUUUUUUUUCAAUUUAUUUAUCUUUGUUCACUUCUUUGUUUGAGAAACUAUGUUUCUCCAGUUGACCUGGAACUUGCUAUGUAGAACAUGCUGUCCUUAAAAUUACAGUGUUUCUCCUGCCUCUGUCUCCCAGAUAUUGGAACUACAGGUUUCUAUCAUCAUAUCACAUGCUAGACUCUACUUUUAAAAAUCAGUAUAAUUGAAGUAAAAUCAUAUAAAUAAAAUGUACCCAUUUUAAUG
Molecule: long non-coding RNA, 1381 nt
Filed under: Mus musculus (house mouse)
Lineage: Eukaryota; Metazoa; Chordata; Mammalia; Rodentia; Muridae
Description: long non-coding RNA chr3:41771886-41773267
Source: RNAcentral